AUCGCUCGUUGUGUCCCUGCGUUGGACUUCUAAUCCAAAGGUCGUGGGUUCGAAUCCCACCUGAGAUU
Molecule: non-coding RNA, 68 nt
Organism: Trichonephila clavata
Lineage: Eukaryota; Metazoa; Arthropoda; Arachnida; Araneae; Nephilidae
Source: the annotation of a GenBank genome assembly